This 226-nucleotide ribosomal RNA is filed under the name uncultured bacterium. Its description in RNAcentral is "partial 16S ribosomal RNA". It matches the Rfam family "Bacterial small subunit ribosomal RNA", at positions 538 to 764 of the family's 1533-position model. The record is from RNAcentral.
GCGUUGUCCGGAUUUAUUGGGCGUAACGCGCGCGCAGGCGGUCGAUUAAGUCUGAUGUUAAAGCCCGGGGCUCAACCUCGGUUCGCAUUGGAAACUGGUCGACUUGAGUGCAGGAGAGGAAAGUGGUAUUCCACGUGUAGCGGUGAAAUGCGUAGAGAUGUGGAGGAACAACAGUGGCGAAGGCGACUUUCUGGCCUGUAACUGACGCUGAGGCGCGAAAGCGUGG